GAUGAACGCUGGCGGCGUGCCUAAUACAUGCAAGUCGAGCGGACAGACGCGGCGCUUGCUCCUCUGACGUUAGGGGCGGACGGGUGAGUAACACGUGGAUAACCUCCCUAUAUGACUGGGAUAACUUCGGGAAACCGGAGCUAAUACCGGAUAAUAUAUUGAACCGCAUGGUUCAUUGGUGAAAGACGGUUUUGCUGUCACUUAUAGAUGGAUCCGCGCCGCAUUAGCUAGUUGGUACGGUAACGGCUUACCAAGGCAACGAUGCGUAGCCGACCUGAGAGGGGGAUCGGCCACCCUGGAGCUGAGACACGGUCCAGACGCCUACGGGAGGCAGCAGUAGGGAAUCGUCGGCAAUGGUCGAAAGCCUGACGGAGCAACGCCGCGUGAGUGAUGAAGGUCUUCGGAGCGUAAAGCUCUGUUAUUGGGGAAGAACAAAUGUGGAAUUAACUAUGCACGGCUUGACGGUACCUGGUCAGAAAGCCACGGCUAACUACGUG
RNAcentral lists this ribosomal RNA (497 nucleotides) under uncultured bacterium. RNAcentral describes it as "partial 16S ribosomal RNA". It matches the Rfam family "Bacterial small subunit ribosomal RNA", at positions 28 to 507 of the family's 1533-position model. The record is from RNAcentral.